RNA transcript from Drosophila elegans, 957 nucleotides. It is a transcript of the gene named mitochondrial import inner membrane translocase subunit TIM14, with no coding region annotated. NCBI's taxonomy places the organism in Eukaryota, Metazoa, Arthropoda, Insecta, Diptera, Drosophilidae. The transcript has 4 exons. The record is from RefSeq and is a predicted model, not a curated record.
AGUUAAAUCACCUGGUUUUAGUCGACAACAAUCGUGAAAUAUUCUUCUCCAUUUCAUAUACUCAAUGGCCACCAACCCAAAUCAUUUGACCCCGAAGGCGAGCUCCGUAAUUCUGGCCGGACUUGGAGUGGCCGCCGUGGGAUUCGCCGGGAAGCACCUGAUACGCCGCAUGCCCCAGAUGACCACCAAAUUCAAUGAGGCUCUGAAGAACCUGCCCAAAUUCGAUGCUGAGAGCAUGGCGGCCUCCAAGUACUACAAAGGUGGCUUCGAUCCCAAGAUGAACAAGCGGGAGGCCUCCCUCAUCCUGGGCGUCAGUCCCAGUGCGUCCAAGCUCAAGAUAAAGGACGCUCACAAAAAGAUCAUGUUGUUGAACCAUCCGGAUCGAGGCGGUUCGCCCUAUUUGGCGGCCAAAAUCAACGAGGCUAAAGACUUUUUGGACAAAGCCAAAUAGAGAUUGAAGUGCAAAUAAAGUAGUUUGUGAUUAGCAUAAUGAUUACAAUGGCUGUAAUUUACCUUUGUGAGGCAACCAUGUCCGAGUCCAAGGUAUACGUGAUUCGGAAGACAAACACACUGGUACAUCCAACAGAAAAUGAAUUUAAUUUUACAUGUCAGAUGCUCUCCCAAAUCGCAUUCUAAGAUGAAAGGAAGUAUUUUUAAUGUAUAUAUUUUGAAUAGAUAUGAUUAAAGUCUCUCACGCAUACGCAUCAUUGGGUUGUGCAUCGCUGCAACUAUAUUUAUGCUUAGACAAACAAGAAGAGUAAUCAGGCACUUAAAAAUCCACUUCAUUGUUCGUGUGAGACUUGUUUGCAAAUGUGCGAUGGGUUUUGUAUUGAACGACAUACUCAGUUUUCUGGAAAUGCUCAGAAAAACUUUAAGCGUAAACUGUUUAUUGUAUUGUAAAUAUUGCACCGGGUACUGUAAAGCCUUUUGCACAAUAAACCCAAAAACAAACUGUAA